Molecule: non-coding RNA, 48 nt
Filed under: Schistosoma mattheei
Lineage: Eukaryota; Metazoa; Platyhelminthes; Trematoda; Strigeidida; Schistosomatidae
Source: RNAcentral
AUUCAGCUGACGGGUCCCAAAUAGGACGAAGUGACGCUUGUCCUGAAU